UACGUAGGGCGCAAGCGUUGUCCGGAAUUAUUGGGCGUAAAGAGCUCGUAGGCGGUUUGUCGCGUCUGCCGUGAAAGCCCGGGGCUUAACUCCGGGUCUGCGGUGGAUACGGGCAGACUAGAGGCAGGUAGGGGAGAACGGAAUUCCCGGUGUAGCGGUGAAAUGCGCAGAUAUCGGGAGGAACACCAGUGGCGAAGGCGGCUGCCUGGGCCAGUUCUGACGCUGAGGCGCGAAAGCGUGGGGAGCAAACAGG
This 253-nucleotide ribosomal RNA is filed under the name uncultured bacterium. RNAcentral's name for it is "partial 16S ribosomal RNA". It matches the Rfam family "Bacterial small subunit ribosomal RNA", at positions 524 to 776 of the family's 1533-position model. The record is from RNAcentral.